RNAcentral lists this transfer RNA (71 nucleotides) under Stegodyphus mimosarum. It matches the Rfam family "tRNA". Rfam says of the family: Transfer RNA (tRNA) molecules are approximately 80 nucleotides in length. Their secondary structure includes four short double-helical elements and three loops (D, anti-codon, and T loops). The record is from Rfam by way of RNAcentral. Lineage: Eukaryota; Metazoa; Arthropoda; Arachnida; Araneae; Eresidae.
GCCUUCGUGGUGUAACGGUAGCACACUCGGCGCGUAUUCGAGAGGUCCAGGUUCGAGUCCCGGCGAGGGUA